UGACACAGGGAGGUAGUGACAAGAAAUAACAAUACGGGGCUCAACGCCUUGUAAUUGGAAUGAUGGGAACCUAAACCCCUUCCAGAGUAUCAAUUGGAGGGCAAGUCUGGUGCCAGCAGCCGCGGUAAUUCCAGCUCCAAUAGCGUAUAUUAAAAUUGUUGCAGUUAAAAAGCUCGUAGUUGAAUUUCUGCCGCAUCGCGGCGGCCCUCCCGGGCCCAGCGUUGCGGCUUAUUUCGGACUCGCUUGCGUCUCCGAAUGUU
This 260-nucleotide ribosomal RNA is filed under the name Theileria mutans. RNAcentral describes it as "partial 18S ribosomal RNA". It matches the Rfam family "Eukaryotic small subunit ribosomal RNA", at positions 452 to 714 of the family's 1831-position model. Lineage: Eukaryota; Apicomplexa; Aconoidasida; Piroplasmida; Theileriidae. The record is from RNAcentral.